This 449-nucleotide ribosomal RNA is filed under the name uncultured bacterium. RNAcentral describes it as "bacterial SSU rRNA". It matches the Rfam family "Bacterial small subunit ribosomal RNA", at positions 32 to 509 of the family's 1533-position model. The record is from RNAcentral.
AAUCAACGCUGGCGGCGUGCCUAACACAUGCAAGUCGCACGAGAAAGGGUAGCAAUACCUGAGUAAAGUGGCGCACGGGUGAGUAACACGUGACUAAUCUACCCUCGAGUGGGGAAUAACUGAGAGAAAUCUUAGCUAAUACCGCAUAACACUUACGAGUCAAAGCAGCAAUGCGCUUGGGGAGGAGGUCGCGGCAGAUUAGCUAGUUGGUGGGGUAAUGGCCCACCAAGGCAAUGAUCUGCAUCCGGCCUGAGAGGGCGCACGGACACACUGGAACUGAAACACGGUCCAGACUCCUACGGGAGGCAGCAGUGGGGAAUUUUGCGCAAUGGGGGAAACCCUGACGCAGCAACGCCGCGUGGAGGAUGAAAUCCCUUGGGAUGUAAACUCCUUUCGAUAGGGAAGAUAAUGACGGUACCUAUAGAAGAACGCCCGGCUAACUUCGUGCC